Molecule: microRNA precursor, 205 nt
Filed under: Oryza nivara
Lineage: Eukaryota; Viridiplantae; Streptophyta; Magnoliopsida; Poales; Poaceae
Description: MIR812 microRNA precursor family
Rfam family: MIR812 microRNA precursor family
Source: Rfam by way of RNAcentral
ACAAUAUGACGCCGUUAAUUUUUUAUUCAAUGUUUGACCAUUCGUUUUAUUUAAAAAAUUUAUGUAAUUAUCAUUUAUUUUAUUGUGACUUGAUUCAUCAUUAAAUGUUCUUUAAGCAUGACAUAAAUAUUUUCAUAUUUACACAAAAAAUUUGAAUAAAAUGAAUGGUCAAACGUUGGUUAAAAAGUCAACGGCAUCAUACAUU